AACGCACAUUGCGCCCCUUGGUAUUCCGAGGGGCAUGCCUGUUCGAGCGUCAUUACAACCCUCAAGCACUGCUUGGUAUUGGGCUCCGCUGGUUUCAGCGGGCCUUAAAGUCAGUGGCAGCGCCGUCUGAGCUCUGAGCGUAGUAAAUCUCCUCGCUAUAGAGACCAGGUGGUCCCUCGCCAUCAACCCCCCAACUUCCUAAGUUUGACCUCGGAUCAGGUAGGGAUACCCGCUGAACUUAA
RNAcentral lists this unclassified non-coding RNA (242 nucleotides) under uncultured fungus. RNAcentral's name for it is "sequence contains ITS2". The stretch from base 1 to 52 matches the Rfam family "5.8S ribosomal RNA", at positions 103 to 154 of the family's 154-position model. Lineage: Eukaryota; Fungi. The record is from RNAcentral.